Molecule: ribosomal RNA, 253 nt
Filed under: uncultured bacterium
Lineage: Bacteria
Description: partial 16S ribosomal RNA
Rfam family: Bacterial small subunit ribosomal RNA
Source: RNAcentral
UACGGGGGGGGCAAGCGUUGUUCGGAAUUACUGGGCGUAAAGGGCUCGUAGGCGGCCAACUAAGUCGGACGUGAAAUCCCUCGGCUUAACCGGGGAACUGCGUCCGAUACUGGAUGGCUUGAGUUUGGGAGAGGGAUGCGGAAUUCCAGGUGUAGCGGUGAAAUGCGUAGAUAUCUGGAAGAACACCGGUGGCGAAGGCGACAUCCUGGACCGGUAUUGACGCUGAGGCGCGAAAGCCAGGGGAGCAAACGGG